UACGUAGGGUGCGAGCGUUGUCCAGAUUUAUUGGGUUUAAAGGGUGCGCAGGCGGCAUAUUAAGUUAGUAGUUAAAGACAGCGGCUCAACCGUUGCGCGGCUAUUAAAACUGAUAAGCUUGAGUCCGUCAGAGGAAAUUAGAAUGCGUGGUGUAGCGGUGAAAUGCAUAGAUAUCACGCAGAAUACCAAUUGCGAAGGCAGAUUUCUAUGGCGGAACUGACGCUGAGGCACGAAAGCGUGGGGAGCGAACAGG
This 253-nucleotide ribosomal RNA is filed under the name uncultured bacterium. RNAcentral describes it as "partial 16S ribosomal RNA". It matches the Rfam family "Bacterial small subunit ribosomal RNA", at positions 524 to 776 of the family's 1533-position model. The record is from RNAcentral.